Vicia villosa (hairy vetch) is the source of this 1869-nucleotide long non-coding RNA. RefSeq lists it as uncharacterized. The record is from RefSeq and is a predicted model, not a curated record. NCBI's taxonomy places the organism in Eukaryota, Viridiplantae, Streptophyta, Magnoliopsida, Fabales, Fabaceae. The transcript has 6 exons.
CUAUCCACAUCAGCAUCUCUUCCCACAAUAAUCCACAUCAGCCUUUGACAGUUACAGUGUUUCUUCUUCCAAUUUUCUAUUUCCUUUAUUUCAUUCAAUCCAAUUUUAUCGUUCACAACCAUUCAUCAGCGGUUACAAUCACGAAACGUUUCAAUCUUCAUAUCCAACCAUCCUUUCUCAUCCUUUCUCUCAUCCUUUCUCUCUCGCACGGGUAACAAAAUUUCCCCAAAUUCUAACCCUUUUCUUCUUCAAUCGAUCCCUAUUGUGAUUUUGUUCUUCUUCUGCUUCUCUUCUCUGUAACAUUAAUUGUGGAAAUGGAAGAACGAAUUUGAUGGCUUCGAACCAUUGAACUAACAAUUACUUAAAGCCAUUUGGAAUCGAUGAAGAUUCUUCCAUCUGGUGCUGAUAAAAUUCCUCAUUUGAAUGUUGUAAUUCUCGGUGAAAAUAUUGCUAACGAAGAAGAAGAUUAUGUUCUUCCCAGCGAAGAAUUCGCUUCCAAAGCACAUGUUCGAUGACCGGAACAGUAUCUGCAGAUGUAUAAGAGAUCCAUUGAGGAUCCUGCUGAAUUUUGGUCUGAAAUUGCAUCUGAUUUGAAACUGAUACGAAAACUGAUAUGGAAACUGUACAACAAUUGGUGUUUCCGGUGUUGCGGAUCCGUCAACAAGCUUCCAUUUGCACCCUGAUCGAAGCAAUUAUUGGGUUUUGUUUGAAUUUUCAGAUAAGGAAGAUUGUUGCUGCAAGAAUUGGAGACUCGGAUAAUUGGUUUUGUUGAUAUGGGAUCAGGGAGUAUUGCUCUGAUGGUUGAGACAUUGAAAAUCAGGUUAGACAUUUAUAAAUGGUUCAUAUUUAGACAUUUAUACUCAUUUGGAAUGAUGUUUGUAUCGUAGUGUACUUUCUAUUGAGUUGGAGGACAUCUCGGGCAACGAUGGCAUCUAUAUUCAAUCUGAUGGAGAGCAUGUGGGAUUCCUUCUGAUGGCAUCUAUAAGGUGUGAAGGUGCAUGUGUAAAGUUAUAUAGAUUUGGUUUCUUCAUUUGUAGAGAAAUUGGUGAAAGAGCAAGCAUCGGUGAAGACUCAUCUUGAUAUUACGGGUUUGUAGGUACGGUUGAUGUGAGGAUGCUCCUCCUCAAUCGACUUCUGAACCUCUGCUUCUGAAUUGUGACGGUACCGACUAUUCCUCUCUAUUCUAUUGUUUAAAGGUAUUGUAUGUUGAUGACUAUUUUUUUAAAUGGCAGGGAUAUAAAUUUGUUGCCAGAUUAGAAAUUGUAGGAACUUCUCAAUUCAAAACUCUUAAACCUGAAAGGGUGAAGAAAUACUUCAUUCCCAUUAUGUGUUUAUUGUGUGCACCACUAUGUGUUUGUUCUGUGAGUGAACUUGCCUUAAUUAGAAGUGAGGCUGGAAAUGGAACCCUUUUCGCAGGUGUAGCAGAAGCUAAGUUUCUUUUAUCAUGAAUACUUGGAAGUGAAAUUAUGCAGCCACUUGACACGAUGAUAAGAAAGAUAGACUUGCAUAAUUAUGUAGAAUGAAGGAGAAAGUAUAUUGUUACAUACACAUUCACUUAGAAAGCAUCUCCUGUACCGAUGGUUGUGGCUUUUGAUAUGAUAUGUUUUGGAUGCAGGGCUGAUUGUAAUGGCUUUUUCCUGUCAAUGCAAGUGCAGGGGAGACAUUAAUUCUAAAGCUAUAAUGAUUGGAAUAGAACUUUAACCUUGGCGUGGAUUGGAAAUUUGCGAGAGGUUUAUGUGUUUUGUCUGCUGUCGGCUCUUGGAUGAAUUGUGUGAUCUUUCUUGGUGAUGACGGUUUCUACUUAUUGUGAAGGAAUGUGAGUUGGAUACCAAGGCAAAACACACUGAUGCACAACCAGCAGGUUACCAA